CUUGACUGCAGCUGAUUUUGCUGUCUCACUCCCUGCAAUGGGGUGCCAAGCAUUCCACAGUGACACAGCAGUUUUUCCCCUGUCCCUCCAUUUCCCUUGGCUGCCCCAACUCCCCCAAAGCCACGGGGCUGCAGAUUUUCAGCGAUGCAGGUUAGAGUUUUGGCCCACCCCAAGUCCCUGAAUAGGCAAUGAAGAGAGAGGGACUCCUGGCUGGAAUCUGCAAAAGUGAUGCCCUCCUGCUCCUCUAUGGUGGGAAAUGAUGAAUGGGACCUAUUUUCUUUGGUGCCAUUCAUUAUUUUGUACACCUUCAUCUUUUCCCUUCUCUGAAGUGAAAAGGUGAGAGGUGUGUCCCUCCAUUAUUGCUAAGGAAAUGAGGAGUAUUUUGCACCAAAAAGUAUUUAUUGCGCAUCUCUGCCUGAAGUACGUGGAGCCUGUGCAAUAUGUUUGAUAUCUGAUGUUUGCCAAGAGAUGGAGCUGCAGAGCCAGGCUACCUACCAAGCCUGACCCCGUAAAUCAGGAACGAUAGAAUAAAACCCUUGGCAGCAAAAGCCUGUAGCCUCAUACUGAUGCCUGCUACUCUUCCCAAGUGACAACGAGGCUUGUGUUGGGCACUUAGCCAACUCUGUCCAAUCUAUUCCAGUUUAUUUCAUUAAGCCAUGGCUCAGAAAAGCCAAGAAACAAGCCAUAUUAAUCUUGAUGGAUCCUGGCCUCUGCUCAGAUAAUGUUAUAGAAAAUGCUCAGCAGCCCCAGAGUUGAGCUGUAAUAGGAUGAAAACAGCUGCUCUCUCGGACUUGCCUUAAAACUUCUGUUCCCUACAUAUACUCCUGUGAAAUGCAGUUCCACUGCACAGUUGUUACUCAGCUGGUAAUUUUCUCGGUUACUUUCACAAUUUAGGCAUUGCUCUAAACCUUGUCUCAGUUUUUAGGCACCUGUAGUAUGAGACAGAAGAUAGCAAAGGAAUUCCCAAACUGCCAGAGACCUGAGUUUGUCAAUCUGUGAAGUGUCCCUCUCCAUAUGGAUUUACAGGCUUAGCUCUGGAAGCCGUAAACCUGUGUUAGUACAGAGUAAAGCCAAGUAUUUUUGGAGCGGAGCUUGGGUUCAACCCUGGGUUAAUGCAGUGAUCUGGCAUCUCUGAGCCAGCUCCCAUCCACACCAUGCUCCUGUCCUUCCUAUCCCAGCACUCUGCCAAGUGGAACAAGUCCAGGUUUGUCUGUACCUGCCUGUAGUAUCCCAGGAUUGCCUGGAGCUACUUCGGGCUUAGGUACAUCAUGGGGAGUCUGCUGAGCUAAUCAGUCCUCUCCAAGCCCCAGGGGAUUCUCAGAGUAGGCAUUCCUGCAAACCAAGUCACUCCAGUUUCUGGGUCUUCCCACAGCAGUUGGGCCUGGGUCUGCCACAUCAGUUCUCAUGCAAAAAAAAAGAGCCAUGAAAGGGCAAGAACGGACUUACCCAAGUACCCUCUUGCACCUGUGAGCAGUCAGGGCAUUUUGUUGUUUUAAAAUCUGUGUUCUGCUUCAUUUGCUUAAUUCAAAAUCCUUGUGCCUACUGAUUCAUUAGGUAAGAACCAGUAGAUUAAUAUGGGAUAAAUUCUGCCUCAGUUGUGCUCCCAAAUGAGGGAGGAAGGGAGAGAGGGAA
Molecule: long non-coding RNA, 1632 nt
Organism: Neopelma chrysocephalum (saffron-crested tyrant-manakin)
Lineage: Eukaryota; Metazoa; Chordata; Aves; Passeriformes; Pipridae
Exons: 4
Source: RefSeq, a predicted model, not a curated record